Molecule: long non-coding RNA, 180 nt
Organism: Pygocentrus nattereri (red-bellied piranha)
Lineage: Eukaryota; Metazoa; Chordata; Actinopteri; Characiformes; Serrasalmidae
Exons: 3
Source: RefSeq, a predicted model, not a curated record
GCUGAGGCUGGCGGACCGUUUGAGCUCAGGGGUUCUGGGCUGUAGUGGACUAUGUCGAUCGUGUGUCUGCACUAAGUUCGGAAUCGAUAUGGUGCUCCUGAGGGAGCUCGGGACCACCAGGUCGCCUAAGGAGGGGUGAACCGGCCCAGGUCGGAAACGGAGCAGAUCGGACGAGCGUCG